Molecule: ribosomal RNA, 775 nt
Filed under: uncultured Neocallimastigales
Lineage: Eukaryota; Fungi; Neocallimastigomycota; Neocallimastigomycetes; Neocallimastigales
Description: partial large subunit ribosomal RNA
Rfam family: Eukaryotic large subunit ribosomal RNA
Source: RNAcentral
GUACACGCUGUGACUAGCAUAUCAAUAAGCGGAGGAAAAGAAACUAACAAGGAUUCCCCUAGUAACGGCGAGUGAAGCGGGAAGAGCUCAAAUUUGAAAUCUUAAAGGGUUUCCCUUUACGAAUUGUAGUUUAAAGAAGUGUUUUCUGUUGAGGUUUUGGUAAAAGUUCUUUGGAAUAGGACAUCAUAGAGGGUGAGAAUCCCGUAUUUGACCUUUACUUUCAACUUUGUGAUACACUUUCAAAGAGUCGGAUUGUUUGGGAAUGCAGUCCAAAAUGGGUGGUAAAUUUCAUCUAAAGCUAAAUAUUGGCGAGAGACCGAUAGCGAACAAGUACCGUGAGGGAAAGAUGAAAAGAACUUUGAAAAGAGAGUUAAACAGUACGUGAAAUUGUCAAAAGGGAAGCGUUUGACACCAGUGUUGUUUUUCUGAAAAUCAAUUAAAGAACUGUUUAUGCUAAGUUGUUUAGACUUUAUCAGCUAAUCUGCUUAGUUUUGAGCUUUUCUUUAAUGCACUUUUCAGUUAACAAGUCAACAUCAAUUUCUUUUGCUGUAAAAAAGCUUGAGGAAGGUGGCUUGAGAUUCGUCUUAAGUGUUUAUAGCCUCUUGCCUAUGCAGUCGGAGAGAUUGAGGUCUGCAGCGUAGAUCCUUCGGGGCUAGAUGCAUCUGUGCUAAGUUAUAGCAUUUUAUAGACAACUUGUUGACUAUGAUUUGUCUUGUAGCUUACUCGCUUAUGUUAUUUUACCUACGCUUAGGAUGUUGACGCAUGAGAUAUACGC